AAAGGAAGAUUAAUACCGCAUAAUGUUGAAAGAUGGCAUCAUCAUUCAACCAAAGGAGCAAUCCGCUAUGAGAUGGACCCGCGGCGCAUUAGCUAGUUGGUGGGGUAACGGCCUACCAAGGCGACGAUGCGUAGCCGACCUGAGAGGGUGAUCGGCCACAUUGGGACUGAGACACGGCCCAGACUCCUACGGGAGGCAGCAGUGGGGAAUAUUGCACAAUGGGGGAAACCCUGAUGCAGCAACGCCGCGUGAGUGAUGAAGGUUUUCGGAUCGUAAAGCUCUGUCUUUGGGGAAGAUAAUGACGGUACCCAAGGAGGAAGCCACGGCUAACUACGUGCCAGCAGCCGCGGUAAUACGUAGGUGGCGAGCGUUAUCCGGAUUUACUGGGCGUAAAGGGAGCGUAGGCGGAUGAUUAAGUGGGAUGUGAAAUACCCGGGCUCAACUUGGGUGCUGCAUUCCAAACUGGUUAUUUAGAGUGCAGGAGAGGAGAGUGGAAUUCCUAGUGUAGCGGUGAAAUGCGUAGA
RNAcentral lists this ribosomal RNA (524 nucleotides) under uncultured bacterium. RNAcentral's name for it is "bacterial SSU rRNA". It matches the Rfam family "Bacterial small subunit ribosomal RNA", at positions 154 to 694 of the family's 1533-position model. The record is from RNAcentral.